Molecule: ribosomal RNA, 925 nt
Filed under: uncultured Bacteroidota bacterium
Lineage: Bacteria; Pseudomonadati; Bacteroidota
Description: bacterial SSU rRNA
Rfam family: Bacterial small subunit ribosomal RNA
Source: RNAcentral
UUGGAUCCAGACUUUGAUCAUGGCUCAGGAUGAACGCUAGCUACAGGCUUAACACAUGCAAGUCGAGGGGCAGCGGGAUUGAAGCUUGCUUCAAUUGCCGGCGACCGGCGCACGGGUGAGUAACGCGUAUCCAACCUUCCGUACACUCAGGGAUAGCCUUUCGAAAGAAAGAUUAAUACCUGAUGGUAUGAUGAGAUUGCAUGAUAGCAUCAUUAAAGAUUUAUCGGUGUACGAUGGGGAUGCGUUCCAUUAGGUAGUAGGCGGGGUAACGGCCCACCUAGCCAACGAUGGAUAGGGGUUCUGAGAGGAAGGUCCCCCACAUUGGAACUGAGACACGGUCCAAACUCCUACGGGAGGCAGCAGUGAGGAAUAUUGGUCAAUGGACGAGAGUCUGAACCAGCCAAGUAGCGUGAAGGAUGAAGGUCCUACGGAUUGUAAACUUCUUUUAUAAGGGAAUAAACCCUCCCACGUGUGGGAGCUUGUAUGUACCUUAUGAAUAAGCAUCGGCUAACUCCGUGCCAGCAGCCGCGGUAAUACGGAGGAUGCGAGCGUUAUCCGGAUUUAUUGGGUUUAAAGGGAGCGCAGACGGGUCGUUAAGUCAGCUGUGAAAGUUUGGGGCUCAACCUUAAAAUUGCAGUUGAUACUGGCGUCCUUGAGUGCGGUUGAGGUGUGCGGAAUUCGUGGUGUAGCGGUGAAAUGCUUAGAUAUCACGAAGAACUCCGAUUGCGAAGGCAGCACACUAAUCCGUAACUGACGUUCAUGCUCGAAAGUGUGGGUAUCAAACAGGAUUAGAUACCCUGGUGGUCCACACGGUAAACGAUGGAUACUCGCUGUUGGCGAUAUACUGUCAGCGGCUUAGCGAAAGCGUUAAGUAUCCCACCUGGGGAGUACGCCGGCAACGGUGCAACUCAAAUGAAUUGACGGA